Molecule: ribosomal RNA, 451 nt
Filed under: uncultured bacterium
Lineage: Bacteria
Description: partial 16S ribosomal RNA
Rfam family: Bacterial small subunit ribosomal RNA
Source: RNAcentral
GAUGAACGCUGGCGGCGUGCCUAAUACAUGCAAGUCGAACGAAGUCUUCGGACUUAGUGGCGAACGGGUGAGUAACACGUUGGUACCUACCCCGAAGUGGGGAAUAACUGCCCGAAAGGGUGGCUAAUACCGCAUAAUACCGCAAGGUUAAAGCAGUAAUGCGCUUCGGGAGGGGCAGGCGUCCCAUUAGCUAGUUGGUAGGGUAAUGGCCUACCAAGGCGACGAUGGGUAGCUGGAUCGAGAGGUUGACCAGCCACACUGGGACUGAGAUACGGCCCAGACUCCUACGGGAUGCAGCAGUAAGGAAUCUUCCACAAUGGACGAAAGUCUGAUGGAGCAACGCCGCGUGCAGGAUGACGGCCUUCGGGUUGUAAACUGCUUUUAUACGGGAAGAUUAUGACGGUACCGUAUGAAUAAGGACCGGCUAACUACGUGCCAGCCGCCGCAGUAA